This 1005-nucleotide long non-coding RNA is filed under the name Ficedula albicollis (Collared flycatcher). RNAcentral's name for it is "lncRNA (ENSFALG00000026977.1)". The record is from RNAcentral. Lineage: Eukaryota; Metazoa; Chordata; Aves; Passeriformes; Muscicapidae.
AUGAGAGCAGGCUUUGACCAUACCCCCAUCCCCGGAGUCUGUAGGGGCACACUGAUUCAAUCACUUGCCCCCAGCCCAGUGCUGAAGCUGGACCCAGGGCUCUGUCGGCUGGGCUGGAUUGUCCCUUCAUCCUCCACCUUCCCUCUGCCGCUCAAUUACAGUCCCUGCAGGACAUGGGGAAGCAGGCAUCAAUCACGGCUGGUUACUCAGGUGACAGCAGCUGUGUCCCCCAGGCUCCCCAGGGAGCAUGGAAACACACAUCACCCUCUGAGCCUGGUAAUGAGUGGGGACGCGGGCCCGCAUGUGCCCUGCCGGCUCCCUGGGGCUGCGGUGCUCGAUGAGCUGCGGCCAGCCCUCCACAGCAGUGCAAAGGGACACAAGACCCCAAUUAAGGCUGCAUCAAUCCUGCUCCAGCUCUGCUUGCUACACUCACAAACAACCCCCCACACACCCCUUGUCCAUGAGCUUUCCCCCAUCCCCGGUGGCCAGAUCAUCAGUCCUCCGCAGGGGUUCCGUGUCACCUCCAUGCUCUCAACACGUUUCCAGCGUGACACCCUCACCCUCCGUGUCACCCCCGUGUCCCGAGGCUGGGUGCGGGGCGGGCAGCGUUGCUGCAGCACCCUGGACAGCGACAUCGCUCCCGGGUGGGCUUGGGGGUCCGGGCUGGGAGUGGUCCCUUGCCCUGGGAAUGCCGGCGGGAGUCUGGGUUGUGGCUGUCCCCGAGGGAGUGGGCGCUGUCCUCGAGGGGAUGCGUUGGGGCAGUACCUGAGGAACUGUGGCUGUCCCCGGGAAGCUCAUGGUGUCCCCACAGGUCUGCGUCUGACCUCGGGGAGGACCCUCAAACAGGAAUCUCUGUCCCGUUGGGUGCCAGGGAAUUUCUGUCCCGUUGGGUGCCAGGGACCAGUCUUAGUGGUUGCCUCCAGCCAGAGUGCCUGUCCCCACAGGAGUCCCCUGUGCCUCUUCAAGCGUACAGAUGGCUGCACACAUCUGGAAGUCCAUGUGUGA